RNAcentral lists this long non-coding RNA (222 nucleotides) under Capsicum annuum. RNAcentral's name for it is "long non-coding RNA (CANN_LNC014813)". Lineage: Eukaryota; Viridiplantae; Streptophyta; Magnoliopsida; Solanales; Solanaceae. The record is from RNAcentral.
UAGGUUGGUCAAGACUUGAAAUUGGAGAGUAAAAUUUUGACAAAACCGAGGCCAAUAGUGGACUGCCACAUCACUAAAUUACUGUUCACACAACAUUUUGAGUUCAACUUUUAGAUUUCUUAGUUUCAUUUUAUUGUUUCUUAGUUUCGUUUGUUGGUUUGAACACUAAUUGAUGACCUAGUAAUCUCCUACUAGCUUGUUAGUUAGUUUUUGUGCCCGUUU